UGGGGAAUAUUGCACAAUGGGCGAAAGCCUGAUGCAGCGACGCCGCGUGAGGGAUGACGGCCUUCGGGUUGUAAACCUCUUUCAGUAGGGACGAAGCGCAAGUGACGGUACCUGCAGAAGAAGCACUGGCUAACUACGUGCCAGCAGCCGCGGUAAUACGUAGGGUGCGAGCGUUGUCCGGAAUUACUGGGCGUAAAGAGCUCGUAGGCGGUUUGUCACGUCGUCUGUGAAAUCCUAGGGCUUAACCCUGGACGUGCAGGCGAUACGGGCUGACUUGAGUACUACAGGGGAGACUGGAAUUUCUGGUGUAGCGGUGGAAUGCACAGAUAUCAGGAAGAACACCGAUGGCGAAGGCAGGUCUCUGGGUAGUAACUGACGCUGAGGAGCGAAAGCAUGGGUAGCGAACAGG
This 409-nucleotide ribosomal RNA is filed under the name bacterium. RNAcentral's name for it is "partial 16S ribosomal RNA". It matches the Rfam family "Bacterial small subunit ribosomal RNA", at positions 355 to 776 of the family's 1533-position model. The record is from RNAcentral.